UUUGGCAGUGUUAUAAAAGUUGGUUUUCCAAGACUUUUUUAACAUUAUUUUGCGAUUUUCUUUCAUAUAUUCUUCAAAAAUAUGUAAAAAUAAUGGCCAAUGAAUACGAAAUCUUCGAAUUUAUAGAGCAAGACAAUGCUGCUAGUAAUUAAUACUCCAAUAAUAACUCUAGCUGUCGCCCCGAAACUCUCCGAACUCUGCCGC
This is a long non-coding RNA of Manduca sexta (tobacco hornworm), 204 nucleotides long. RefSeq lists it as uncharacterized. The record is from RefSeq and is a predicted model, not a curated record. Lineage: Eukaryota; Metazoa; Arthropoda; Insecta; Lepidoptera; Sphingidae. The transcript is spliced from 2 exons.